Molecule: long non-coding RNA, 2096 nt
Organism: Rhinopithecus roxellana (golden snub-nosed monkey)
Lineage: Eukaryota; Metazoa; Chordata; Mammalia; Primates; Cercopithecidae
Exons: 3
Source: RefSeq, a predicted model, not a curated record
GUGAUUCAAACGACAUGGCAGCACUCUGCUCUUUUCUGGAAGCUUAGGGCUUAACAAUGGAGUCAGAGCAUGUCAGAGCCUCGUCUACACUAUGGGAAUACUAAGCACCCGCCUCAAGAGAUUGUUAGGGUUAAACGAGUUAAUAUCAUAGUAUUUCAGGGCAGUUCUCAGCACAGAGGGAGCGAUGGGUAAGGGCUGACUGUUUCGGAAGAUUCUGGCCUCGCCCAGUGUGUUUGGGCGCGGGGGCAAGGCUGGCCAAUGAGGUGGCCCCCCGGUGCCGGCACAGUCCCGACAGCCGCCCCCUCCCCUGAACCUCUGCGGCCCAGUCCCCGCUUACCUGAGGGGUGGAGCCGGCAGCCCGCGGAGCCACUGGCCAAGCUGAGAAGUCCGGCCCAACUCCACACCGCAGAGCCGGCGCCUCCUCGGCAGUAGGCCAUCCAGAACAUGUGCAAGCCAGCGACACUACAGGCAGCUCUGGGAGCCAAUUUAUAUACCAACUCCUGAUGGUACGUCCAGCCUGCUGCCCAGGAAGGAAGCCAGUGCUGGCAGCUGGAAGGCGCCUGGCGUGUAUGGGAGCAUCAAGAGCAUGGGGAGAUGCACUGCAGUGGCCAGCACAGUCCUACAGUCUGUUAUCACAGUCUCACUCUCUGUAAUAAGAAGGUUAAUCAGGACUCUGAUCAUCUGCCCUCAUCUUCCGGUGUUACAAGUCAAGCAAAACUGUGGUGGCUGCCAGCUGAUUUCAUUCCCGGAAGCCCAAAGCUUUAUCAGCAGAAGGUCACUUCCAGCACACAGAUAAGAUUAGCCACGCCUCUCACUUCACCUCCAGCUCCUCACUUUUCCAGAAUUAUCAACUAUCCUAUUUCUGUUCAAAGUAGCCAAAAUUAACCGAGGGCUGCUCUUUGGGGGCUUCUGCAGGGAGCGUGCACCCUAUGGCCAGCAGGAGCAGCACCUCCUUCCCUCCACCAAGAAUCUGUGGCAUCCCUGUUACAGAAUGGAAUGUGCUAGAGCUCUCAGGGAUGUUGAGGUAGGAAACAGUUCGAGAAGAUGGAACCAGAAGACGAUUCGGGAAGCCUGGGAUCAGAGUGGAGAACAGCAGGGGUCUUCAGCAUGGUCCUUUGGUUUCCGAAGCAGUGCCUGGCGCCUUGUAAUGGCUCAAUGCUCGUCAGCCAUUGCCACUAUGGAACAUUCCUGAAGGGCGUUUCCUCCAGGCUGUGGUACUGUCUGGAGAAUUACUGUGGCUCCCUGCUCAAGCCUAUGGCUCUAGGGCCACCAUCUCUGACCUUGGCACCAUCCACCCCCAGCGAUGCACAGAUUGGACAAGGUCUCCCUGGAGACUUCAUCCUGCACGCAGGUGCUGCCCUCUGUUGGCCAUACUCUUUGUGUGCAGCUUAACUUUUCUUGGUUACCUUUACUUUUUUUUCUCAGUGGCUUUGUUCUCCCUCUCAGCCUGGCCUCCAAGGCCACUUCCUGCUCUGCCACUUGGUAUGGUUCAGGGCUGCCCUGCUGUCAGCCACGGCCCAUUUUUAGAGCUCUUUUGCAUCAUGUAGGUUCAUGAGCAUCUGUGUCAGAGGCUGAUAUUUACUGAUGUGCCUCCCACAUUGGGGAUGGUGUGGUGGCAGGUGGGUGGGGUUUGAAACUGAGAACUCUAACAGAAGUUGGGUACAUAGUGACUGCGUCCAAACCCCUGCACCAAGAGACUGGACCGACCCUAGCAUGGCUUCUGGGAGCCCAAAGCAGCAUCCCUGGGACCACCUGGCCACCCUUUGAGUUCCUGUCUGAAAAGCUCAAGGCCGUGAAAAUCGUUUAGCGCUUGUUCCUACCAACACCUGACAACAGGCCUCUGACCACCCCCCCACCCAACUUGCUUAGAGCAUUUACAUUAAAAACGUUUAGAGUCGUACCUCCUUCCCUUGUCCCUUUGAGAUGUACACGCAUGUCUGUCCAGGAGUGUCUUUCUCAAAAGCCUGAGAGCCAGUCCUUUGAAAUGGCAUCAUCAGGAGGGAUGGGGCCUGUCUCCCAGGCUCUGGGGGAGGACAGAAGCUAACUUCCAUCACUGCCAGCUGGCACACACAGCUGGCCCGGCCACAGUAACACAA